GAACGGUAAGGCCCUUCGGGGUACACGAGUGGCGAACGGGUGAGUAACACGUGGGUGAUCUGCCCUGCACUUUGGGAUAAGCCUGGGAAACUGGGUCUAAUACCGAAUACACCUUGCUGGCUGCAUGGCCUGGUGGGGGAAAGCUUUUGCGGUGUGGGAUGGGCCCGCGGCCUAUCAGCUUGUUGGUGGGGUGAUGGCCUACCAAGGCGACGACGGGUAGCCGGCCUGAGAGGGUGUCCGGCCACACUGGGACUGAGAUACGGCCCAGACUCCUACGGGAGGCAGCAGUGGGGAAUAUUACACAAUGGGCGCAAGCCUGAUGCAGCGACGCCGCGUGGGGGAUGACGGCCUUCGGGUUGUAAACCUCUUUCACCAGGGACGAAGCGGAAGUGACGGUACCUGGAGAAGAAGCACCGGCCAACUACGUGCCAGCAGCCGCGGUAAUACGUAGGGUGCGAGCGUUGUCCGGAAUUACUGGGCGUAAAGAGCUCGUAGGUGGUUUGUCGCGUUGUUCGUGAAAACCGGGGGCUUAACCCUCGGCGUGCGGGCGAUACGGGCAGACUUGAGUACUGCAGGGGAGACUGGAAUUCCUGGUGUAGCGGUGGAAUGCGCAGAUAUCAGGAGGAACACCGGUGGCGAAGGCGGGUCUCUGGGCAGUAACUGACGCUGAGGAGCGAAAGCGUGGGGAGCGAACAGGAUUAGAUACCCUGGUAGUCCACGCCGUAAACGGUGGGUACUAGGUGUGGGUUUCCUUCCUUGGGAUCCGUGCCGUAGCUAACGCAUUAAGUACCCCGCCUGGGGAGUACGGCCGCAAGGCUAAAACUCAGAGAAAUUGACGGGGGCCCGCACAAGCGGCGGAGCAUGUGGAUUAAUUCGAUGCAACGCGAAGAACCUUACCUGGGUUUGACAUGCACAGGACGUGUCUAGAGAUAGGCAUUCCCUUGUGGCCUGUGUGCAGGUGGUGCAUGGCUGUCGUCAGCUCGUGUCGUGAGAUGUU
RNAcentral lists this ribosomal RNA (997 nucleotides) under uncultured bacterium. RNAcentral's name for it is "bacterial SSU rRNA". It matches the Rfam family "Bacterial small subunit ribosomal RNA", at positions 64 to 1076 of the family's 1533-position model. The record is from RNAcentral.